CCAGAUUUCAAGUGCUCAGUAGUCACAUGGGGCUAGUGGCUACUGGAUUGGACAGUGCCACUGUGUGACAUUUCCAUCAACACAGGCAGUGCUAUUGGAUGGUGCUGUUCUAGAACAUGCUAUGCAGCCCUAUCCAUGUACCCAGCAAGUGGUAUUAACACUGUCAUUUUCUAUGUGAGCCCUCAUGCACCAAACAGGUGGGCCAGUCCAGGUGAUGUUGUCCAGCUUUGGGGAGUUCACACAAGGGAUGAAUUUGUCUUGGAGGCUUUGAUCUAGACCUCUGAGCAGUUCCCCAUUCUCUCUGAGGCUCUGGACAACUUCAUCCCUCCUUUAUGACUCUUCCAGUUCUCCAUGGUUCCUAAGACCUCUGGGUUCAGCGUGCCCUCUCUGGGAUUCUCUCAGGCCUAGCUCAAGCUUAUCUGCCCACUGGAGUGUUCUCUCUGCCUCCCAUACUCAGCCUGUGCCCCAGCCCCUUCCCAAGGCUUGGCCCCACUGGCAAAGCUGCCUUGCCUUCCCCACAGUCCUCAAAUAGGGCCAGCCCUUAGCCAGCCUGUGUCUUUGGGCCCCCUCUGGUCCUUUGUUUCGAUAUUCUGGUUCCUGCUUUUCUGCCUCUCAUGUUCAAGCUACCCAGCUACCCAUUACACAUCUGACACAUUUCUAUUGAGAAAAAUCCCUCAUAGAUCCAAUAACAAUGAUAGAUGUCAUCGGAAUACCUGCCAUUAGCAAGAGAAGCUGAAGAGGCAGCAGGGUACAGUGGAUAUGCACACAGGCUCUGGAGUCAGACUGUAGGGUUCCAAUCCUGGUUUUGCACAUACCAGCUGUAAUACCUUAUCUUGGGCAAGUUUCUUAAUCUCUCUGUGUUUGCUUCCUAGAAAUAUCCCCUUUCUGUAAAAUGGGGCGUUCAUAAUCUCUGCCUUAUAGGGUUGUUAUGAGGAUUCAAGGAGUCAUGAUUCAUAAAGUACCUAGGUCAGUGCCCGGCACAGAGUAAGCCCCGCAUGAGGGUCUGUUACAUAAAGGAGUGGGCCAUGCUUAACCCAUGUAACCCCAAGGAAAUGCCUCUCUGAUGGUGGAAAUCCAGGCCUCAGGGAUUUGUGGCUGGCAAACCUCAUGCAGGCUAGAAACUAGGAGACUCGGGCAGUGCCUGACCCUGGCUGGGCUGGCAGGGAGGCAUCUUGGCUUCAAUACUUGCAGCAGAAUGGGUCCCCCCUCCAACCCCCCAUGAAACUAUUGUUCAGAGUUCAUGUGGAGGAAGUGUUAGUAAAGGCCUGGCUGAGCAAUGGCAGAGAUGACAGGAAAUUAGGCCAAAGAAAGCUGAGCCCCAGCAGGCUGCCUCUGUGCUCAUCUCCCCAGCGUUAGGCCUUACCUGGUGACAGGUGAGGAUCACUCGUUGGGAGGCCCUGUGUUUGCUCCCUGACUUGGGAGGCAUGGCAGAUGCAGCUGCCAGGCAAGGACUUGGGAAAGUCGCAGCCCAAGUGUUUGGUGGAGGCAACAGUGUCAGGGAGGGAGCGUCGCCCUCCUCCAUGGGGCUCCUUCAUGGAGGGGAUAAAGCCAGGAGGUGGGAAUCCAGGCACUGGCACUGCACCACCGGGGUUCAAGCCCCAGUGCUGUCACUGACCAGCAGUGUGACCUUGGGCAAGCCACGUAACCACCCUGUAAGAGGGAGCAGAUGAUACAGCCCCGUCGCAGGGUUGCUACGAGGAUGAAAUGAGCGAAUCUCUGUGAUUUGAACAGUGCCUUGUCCCUAGUGAGUGCUUAAUUUGUGCUAGUGUUUGUGACUGAGGACAGAGAAGUGAAUCCAGGCCUGAGGCUGGAUACUGGCUCAUGGAUCAGGUGCACAGCCAGCUCUGCAGGCCAGCCGUCUGAGGUCUGGCAGUCUGUUUUGGUGCAGGCCACUGGGGCCAGCCUGCCCGCUGAUCCAGGCACUUCUCUUGCUGACUAACCAAGGUGUCUGCUUGCUCUUCCCAGUUCUCCUCUGCCCUCACCAUGCACAGAUCCUAGGAACUCCAGGUUGAGAAGGACCCUGAGAGCCCCCCUGCUCAUCAGCGCCUCCAUAGCAGGCCCACCUGGCUGUCAGCACCCUCUGCUCACACACUUCCAGGACAUGCCAGGCAGUCAUCCUAGCUCUGGACAACUCUGAGUGACUCAUGGGGGCCGUGGUCUGACAGACUGCGUCUUCCUCCCACCAGCCCAAUGCAACCCCACAGCUGCCCAGAACAAGCCUGUUUCUUUCUUUUGGACAUGUUGUUGCUUCCCAUAUUGUGAGGCCACUCUCUCAUCCCACCUUGAAGAAUUCACAUUUCCAUUUCCUCCAACCAUUUCCUCAUAGCACAGUUUCUAGUUUGCUGGCAGGCUGCCCCGUCUGAUCAUACCUGAUCACAUGUCAGUUUGUCUUUGGCCCUUCUCUUUGGGGGUUCUCAGUAGUCAGACCCUACAUUGCCCCAGUCAGACAUCACACUUGUGGACACCACCCCCUCCCUGGAAGUACACUGGAUUCUCUAGAAGCCACAUCCCACUGGUGGUCACACUGAGCAGACUGUCAAUGGAGAGGCCCUGUGCUUUCCCAGGACUGCUGUUAAGCCACAUUGCUUAAACAGUGUCCCCACGACUGCAGGCUCAGCCAACCCAGGCAAGCUCUUGAGCCCAUGUAAGGCCUGCCUCUCUCUCUCUCAUUCUGUGUAUGUGUGUGUGUCCUCAUUCAGGUCUCCACAGAUAUAGAAGUCUUCUCUAUUUAAUUGUAUUUAAUUGUCCUUAGCUUCCAGCCCCCAGGGACUGGGUUGGCAUAUCUUAGAGGAAAGAGUGUAGGCUUUGGACUCAGACAGAAAUCUCUCUUUGAAGGCUAGUUCUGCCCCCGACCAGAUGUGUGACUGUAGACCAUGUGACUUUCCUCUCUCUGAACCUCUGUUUCCUCACAUGUGAAAUGGGAGAGUAAUACUAGCCUUCUGUGGUGAGUGUGAGAAAUCAAGUACAAUAGGAAUAAACAUGUCUGCUCCCUUCCUGGGUCAUCUGGUACCACAAUGGCGAUGACUACAAUGAUGCUACUUGUCAUUUAUCUCCUGGAGGAGCUGAGAAGAGCUUGUUCAACAACAACUCAUCACUUGGAGAAAAAAUGCAGAAGGUGUCAGAUCAAUUAUACCUUGUUAUAAACACAGACGUGUGCAAAGUGAAGAUUCCCCACCAGCUGUGCCCAAGUCACGCUAGAACAGCCAGCAGACACCAAGUAAACACCACCUAAUGAUGAACCUGGUCGGACCAUUCACGCCAGUUGGCAGAUCCAUAAUUUCAUGGGGGCAUCACCCGGAGCAAAGCCAGCACCAGCCUCCUUGAAAAUGCUAUCGUAUGCUCUCUUUGGCAGCAUUUCCAUUAAAACUGGAACCAUGCAGAGGUCAGCAUGGCCCCUGCAGAAAGAUGACAGCAAAUUUGUGAAGCAUUUUAUAUGAAAUUCUGGUACAUGCUACAACUUGUGUGAAUCUUGUGUGAUUCCACUUAUAUAAAAGACCUGGAGUAGUCAAAUUCAUAGAGACAGAAAGUAGCAGGGUGGUUGCUGGGUGCUGGGGGGAGUGAGGAAUGGGGAAUUCUUAUUUAGUGAGUACAGAGUUUUAGUUUGGGGUGAUGAAAAAGUUCUAAAAUGGAUGGUGACAGUGACUGCACAACAAUAUGAUGUAUUUAGUGCCAGUGAACUGUCCACUCAAAUGUGGUUAAAAUGGUAAAUGUUAUGUAUAUUUUACAAUAAAAAAUGGCAAAAAAUAUCGCAAAGCCAAUUCUACCAGGUGAGCAGGAAGAGGAGAGGUUGUUGGAAAUAGAUGUGUCACUUCAGGGAGGCUGAUGAACAUAUGGGUGGCAGUCACCCUCGGCAGGGGCUUCUUGGUUCUAUUGUCUAUGGGCUUGGGUGGUCCUGUCAGAUCUGGGGAAGGAGACAGCAUUUGGGGAGGGGUAGAAAGAACCCCUGGCCAUCUGAUGCUAUUCUACAUGUGCCCCAAUGGAUGAAGAGUAGAGCAACUCCAGAGCAGAAGUUGGCAGGAAUCAAAUGCCUGGGAAGAAGUCGCUGAAGAUCCAGCAUGGUGGUUCACAGCAGCUGGGCCUGGGUUCAAAUCCUGCUCUAGCAAUGACUAGCUGCGUGACCCUAGGCAGAUUACUUACCCUCUGCCUCAGUUAAAUAGGAACACUAGUACCUACUGUGUAGGAAUAUAGUCAGGACUAAAUGAGGUAAAGUGUGUUAAAUGCUAGGGGUGCCUGGCAAUAAAUGAAGGAAUGGUAAACACUGUAUUUUGUUUCAAUGCCAAUGGUGAAGUCAACAGUAACACUUUGUCUUAGUUUCUUUGUAUUGCUUAACAGAAUACCACAGAAUAAUUUAUAUUUUUAAAAAACAGCAACAAAAUUUUCUCACAGAACUGGAGGCUGGAAGCCCAAGAUUAAGGUGCCAGCAUUUGGUCUGAUAAGGGCCUUCUUUCUGUAUCCUCACAUGGCAGCAGUGGAAGGGCAAGAGAGACAGAGAGCCCCCUCGGUAGCCACAAGCCCUCAUGACUUUAUCACCCCUUACAGGCUCCACUUCUUCAUCCUAUCAUCCAGGAUUAGGUUUUAACCUAUGAAUCUCAAAGAGGACACAAGCAUUCAAACUAUUGCACCCUUAAUAAAGCAAAUCUGGGUAAAAUGAAGCCCUCAGUCAUUUCAUGGAGGGGCAUUGGGGCCCCACCUUUUCCUUCAAUUAUAACCAUCUCCCUCUGUCAGAUCAGAAGCUGUAUCAUAAGAAGGAACCUGUAUCGACCCCCAGGGUGAAUUUGUGCUCUAGUGAAGAAGGUUUACUGACUGUGCCAUGCCUGGUGAGUCACUUCCCAUGUUUGAGCCUCGCCUUCACAGUUUUCUCACUUGCAAAAUGGGUUCGUAACAGCAAUCAUAUGGUGUCUUUGUGAAAAUUAAGUACUAUGAUAUUUGUUCAGUACAGAGUAUGCUGCUGAGAGUAUGUUUAUGCAAUAAAAAGAAGCCAUGAUGAUGUUUGCAUUUGGUAUUUGAAGAUCAGUUUCAAAUGUUGGCCCCACCAUCUGCUAGCUGAGCAAUCUUGAACAAGGGAUUUUGCUUCUCUGAAUCUCAGCCUCCUCAUCUGUCAAACGGGAAUGAGAACACUACCACCUCCCCCAAAGGACCGUCUGGAAAACCUAAGACGCACAUCUACUUGGACACAGUAUACUAACACCAUCCAUUCCACCCACCUCGCAGCAGGACCCCUCCUGGUGGCAGAAGAUGAGCCGCCUGAGGGCACAGGUAGUUUUAGGGGUUGGGGUCUCUGCCAGAUGGGCAGAGGAGCCUUCCUAUGGGAUUUGUUCAUUAGCCAGGAGCUUUAAGGUGGGGCUGGCCUAGCCUAGAGGUGCACCAUCCUGAUUUUGCCUGUGAAUUACUAAAAGCAGCAGUGUAAUUAUCCUCCUUCCUCUGUCCUGCCCCAAGUCUGGGAGCAGCCAGGGCCUAUGGGGACAAUGAACACAGAACAGAGCCAUUAAUUGCACACCAGGGUCCCUGGAGGAUGGCCAUAUGGGCCUGUCAUCUUAGUGUGGAAGUAAUCAUGUAAAUAAAUCACGUGUGAGUAAAUCACAGACUUAUCUCAUCUGUAAUUUUCUGGGAGUCUCUCCAGCACUGUUUAUUGAGGUGCAUGGGUCUGAAGCCCCAGAAAUUGGCUCACUCUCCUCCCUCUCCUGCUCCAGCUGGGGAGAGGCCAUUCUGGGUGGCAGAUGGGAGUGAGGCUGAUGAGGAGUCGUCCCUGCUCUGCUGGGGUACAUGCAGGUGCAGUGGAGGGUGAACCCCAAACGGGCACGGUAGGAGUAGGGGGGCUGUGUGAGUGAGUGGCCGUUGGCCAGUGUGUGCGUGUAGGUACGUAUGUGAGUGUGACUGUGCGUCCACUGGCCAGCGUGGAAGCAGCCCUGGGCAUGUGAGCAGGGAAAAGGAUUGACCUGAGG
Molecule: long non-coding RNA, 5942 nt
Filed under: Homo sapiens (human)
Lineage: Eukaryota; Metazoa; Chordata; Mammalia; Primates; Hominidae
Source: RNAcentral